UUAAGCGACUAAGCGUACACGGUGGAUGCCCUGGCAGUCAGAGGCGAUGAAGGACGUGCUAAUCUGCGAAAAGCGUCGGUAAGGUGAUAUGAACCGUUAUAACCGGCGAUGUCCGAAUGGGGAAACCCAGUGCAAUUCGUUGCACUAUCGUUAACUGAAUACAUAGGUUAACGAGGCGAACCGGGGGAACUGAAACAUCUAAGUACCCCGAGGAAAAGAAAUCAACCGAGAUUCCCCCAGUAGCGGCGAGCGAACGGGGAGCAGCCCAGAGUCUGAAUCAGCUUGUGUGUUAGUGGAACGGUCUGGAAAGUCCGACGGUACAGGGUGAUAGUCCCGUACACCAAAAUGCACAGGUUGUGAACUCGAAGAGUAGGGCGGGACACGUGGUAUCCUGUCUGAAUAUGGGGGGACCAUCCUCCAAGGCUAAAUACUCCUGACUGACCGAUAGUGAACCAGUACCGUGAGGGAAAGGCGAAAAGAACCCCGGCGAGGGGAGUGAAAAAGAACCUGAAACCGUGUACGUACAAGCAGUGGGAGCACCUUCGGGUGUGACUGCGUACCUUUUGUAUAAUGGGUCAGCGACUUAUAUUCUGUAGCAAGGUUAACCGUAUAGGGGAGCCGCAGGGAAACCGAGUCUUAACUGGGCGUUAAGUUGCAGGGUAUAGACCCGAAACCCGGUGAUCUAGCCAUGGGCAGGUUGAAGGUUGGGUAACACUAACUGGAGGACCGAACCGACUAAUGUUGAAAAAUUAGCGGAUGACUUGUGGCUGGGGGUGAAAGGCCAAUCAAACCGGGAGAUAGCUGGUUCUCCCCGAAAGCUAUUUAGGUAGCGCCUCGUGAACUCAUCUUCGGGGGUAGAGCACUGUUUCGGCUAGGGGGUCAUCCCGACUUACCAACCCGAUGCAAACUACGAAUACCGAAGAAUGUUAUCACGGGAGACACACGGCGGGUGCUAACGUCCGUCGUGAAGAGGGAAACAACCCAGACCGCCAGCUAAGGUCCCAAAGUCAUGGUUAAGUGGGAAACGAUGUGGGAAGGCACAGACAGCCAGGAUGUUGGCUUAGAAGCAGCCAUCAUUUAAAGAAAGCGUAAUAGCUCACUGGUCGAGUCGGCCUGCGCGGAAGAUGUAACGGGGCUAAACCAUGCACCGAAGCUGCGGCAGCGACACUAUGUGUUGUUGGGUAGGGGAGCGUUCUGUAAGUCUGCGAAGGUGACCUGUGAGGGUUGCUGGAGGUAUCAGAAGUGCGAAUGCUGACAUAAGUAACGAUAAAGCGGGUGAAAAGCCCGCUCGCCGGAAGACCAAGGGUUCCUGUCCAACGUUAAUCGGGGCAGGGUGAGUCGACCCCUAAGGCGAGGCCGAAAGGCGUAGUCGAUGGGAAACAGGUUAAUAUUCCUGUACUUGGUGUUACUGCGAAGGGGGGACGGAGAAGGCUAUGUUAGCCGGGCGACGGUUGUCCCGGUUUAAGCAUGUAGGCUGAUUAUCCAGGCAAAUCCGGAUAAUCAAGGCUGAGGUGUGAUGACGAGGCACUACGGUGCUGAAGUAACAAAUGCCCUGCUUCCAGGAAAAGCCUCUAAGCAUCAGGUAACAUUAAAUCGUACCCCAAACCGACACAGGUGGUCAGGUAGAGAAUACCAAGGCGCUUGAGAGAACUCGGGUGAAGGAACUAGGCAAAAUGGUGCCGUAACUUCGGGAGAAGGCACGCUGGUGUGUAGGUGAAGUCCCUGCGGAUGGAGCUGAGACCAGUCGAAGAUACCAGCUGGCUGCAACUGUUUAUUAAAAACACAGCACUGUGCAAACACGAAAGUGGACGUAUACGGUGUGACGCCUGCCCGGUGCCGGAAGGUUAAUUGAUGGGGUUAUCCGUAAGGAGAAGCUCUUGAUCGAAGCCCCGGUAAACGGCGGCCGUAACUAUAACGGUCCUAAGGUAGCGAAAUUCCUUGUCGGGUAAGUUCCGACCUGCACGAAUGGCGUAAUGAUGGCCAGGCUGUCUCCACCCGAGACUCAGUGAAAUUGAACUCGCUGUGAAGAUGCAGUGUACCCGCGGCAAGACGGAAAGACCCCGUGAACCUUUACUAUAGCUUGACACUGAACAUUGAGCCUUGAUGUGUAGGAUAGGUGGGAGGCUUUGAAGCGUGGACGCCAGUCUGCGUGGAGCCAACCUUGAAAUACCACCCUUUAAUGUUUGAUGUUCUAACGUUGGCCCCUGACCGGGGUUGCGGACAGUGUCUGGUGGGUAGUUUGACUGGGGCGGUCUCCUCCCAAAGCGUAACGGAGGAGCACGAAGGUUAGCUAAUCCUGGUCGGACAUCAGGAGGUUAGUGCAAUGGCAUAAGCUAGCUUGACUGCGAGCGUGACGGCGCGAGCAGGUGCGAAAGCAGGUCAUAGUGAUCCGGUGGUUCUGAAUGGAAGGGCCAUCGCUCAACGGAUAAAAGGUACUCCGGGGAUAACAGGCUGAUACCGCCCAAGAGUUCAUAUCGACGGCGGUGUUUGGCACCUCGAUGUCGGCUCAUCACAUCCUGGGGCUGAAGUAGGUCCCAAGGGUAUGGCUGUUCGCCAUUUAAAGUGGUACGCGAGCUGGGUUUAGAACGUCGUGAGACAGUUCGGUCCCUAUCUGCCGUGGGCGCUGGAGAAUUGAGGGGGGCUGCUCCUAGUACGAGAGGACCGGAGUGGACGCAUCACUGGUGUUCGGGUUGUCAUGCCAAUGGCACUGCCCGGUAGCUAAAUGCGGAAGAGAUAAGUGCUGAAAGCAUCUAAGCACGAAACUUGCCCCGAGAUGAGUUCUCCCUGAGACUUUAAGUCUCCUGAAGGAACGUUAAAGACGAUGACGUUGAUAGGCCGGGUGUGUAAGCGCAGCGAUGCGUUGAGCUAACCGGUACUAAUGAACCGUGAGGCUUAACCU
RNAcentral lists this ribosomal RNA (2899 nucleotides) under Klebsiella pneumoniae. RNAcentral describes it as "bacterial LSU rRNA". It matches the Rfam family "Bacterial large subunit ribosomal RNA". Lineage: Bacteria; Pseudomonadati; Pseudomonadota; Gammaproteobacteria; Enterobacterales; Enterobacteriaceae. The record is from RNAcentral.